AUUACUAAAGAUUUUUAUUCAGUAGAACAAUCAGAAAUUUAAGGCAGUGGGGUUUUAGUGACCAAAAGCCAUAGGUAAAGUCAUUUAACAGUAAAAGACAAAAAUUCCAUAGCAUUACAUGCACGUGAACCAACUCCUAAGUUCUCUAAUUGAGUAAAACCAGGCCUGCUGAUGGAAAUAGAGAGGCCAUAGGGUAACAACUGCGGGGAAAGCCGGAAUGGCCUUUUCCUGGACCAAAGAUUCUCAGACACAGAUAAGUCAAACCCAAAAAUCUAUUCUUGCUCACGUUCCACUGUGGAGGCACAGCAGGAGUUUAUCCUACUGAAGUCAUGUCAACACUCUGAAAACAAAAGUUUGUCCUUUGUAUCCAUUCUUAACAACAUUCAGGGUAUUUGCACCAUCAGCGAGCACAUCAACACACCAGAAUUUAAAGCAAACAGAAGACCCCCCCCAAACCAAACCACCACCAAAAACCCCAACAUGCUACUUUCUCCUCAACACAUAUAUGCAACCAGGAAAAUCUUAACUUGAAGUAACUCAUGCUGCACGUGCAGGGCGUCCACAGAAACAAUCAGCUGCAGUCUUCAGGUCCAGAGCAACAGAAAUACAGCAAAGCAUUUGGAAUGAGUCUGCACACGUACAGUUCAAGCCAUCGCCACUAGUUCAGUGUUACCAUUAAGAUGAUGUGCCCGAAUUCAUCCAGCCCACGAGCCUCACUUGCCUGCUCUCUGCCCUUCUUUUGGCAGCUUCUACCCUCUCUUAUAUUCUUUUUACUUUCUCUCAUCUCUCAUGCGUAACAUGUUCAGUCAACUUUAGAAGACCCCUUCAUCAUUUCCCACAUCCAAGGAAAAAACACACUAAAAAUCUCUCCUAGUUUGUGGUCCUUCCCUUUCUUCUCACAUCACCUUUGUUUUUACAGCAAUACAGCAGUUCUUAUGAGACAAACAUGCAGUAGGAGAGCUUACAGUCCCCAAGAACCAGGGCAGAUGGGGGACUUUCACCAGAGGUCAAUAGAAACCCCAAAAGGGAAAGCAGAAGUCACCUGCAGGACAUCACUCAAUGAAAUCAAGCAUUCUUCCUUAGCAGUAUUAACUAUUCCAGCUCAAAGUGUACAUAGCAGACACAUUUUGUCAAUCCUAUUGUUAGCAACUCCCAGUGCUGGGAGUUUUAAAGCCCCAAUUAACAUUCCUUUGUCCAACAAAGAAGUUAUUAUAUUCUACAGCAAAACUGACCAGAAUCAAUUCACAUUGCUUAUGCUGUAAAUAAACAGUAUCAUCUGCAAAUGCUCACAAGCCUUUACACAGCAGCUUUCGCUGAGAAUCUACUGCUUUACCACUGUGUUUUACCAUCACGAAUGUUAAGUCUAGACACAAGAUUCACUGCAAAUCUUUGAUAACCCACAUACAAUUGAAGAGGGAUUUAUUUCAACUCAAAGUUCAGGAAAAAGCACAUUCAUAGUAGCGAAGGGUGAAAAGCGUUGGUGGUGUUUUCCUUCUAGAAAUGUCGAAGGACAAAACACUAUUUGUGAGUAUUUGUGUCUCUAACACACCCGGACAACCGAACGCGAGGGACGAGGCCGCUCUUACCACAGGCGCCCCCGCCGCCAUUUCCCCACCGCCCCGGGGCCCGCGGGGCGGGAGAACGAGCGCCCCCUGGCGGGCGGCGUGGAGCGGCUCCUGAGCUGAGGGAAGGGAGCAGCGGAGCGAGUAACCGCCACCGGGACACGGAAGCGAGGGGCGGCGGGCAGCUCCGCGGAACGCUUAGCGCACCGGCCGCGCAAAGACAGGCAGAUGGCCGGGGCAAGAAAAGACGCCGAGCGCUGGGGAACCGGGCGUGUGCUCGGUGAAGCCGGCCACCGCGGGAAAAGCUGGGCGCCGGCAGGGCUUCACCAGCGCUGCCCCGCAGCCUCUGCCGGGCCGGCCCGCGCAAUUUCCCGCAGUGCCGCGCCGCCUCCGCGCUGCCCGCAGCCCCCAGCGGCUCCUCACUCGCCCCGCUGGGCCAAGCCACGGGCGACAGCUCCCAGGCCUGCCCCUCACCCUGGUCACCCCCACUGGGCGAACGCGCUCAGCCCGGAGGCUGGCGGCCCCGCAGGCCGGGGCGGAGGGCGCCGAGGCGGGGGUGGUACCGCGCCGGCAGCGCUGCCCGGAAGGCGCACCGGCGGCCGUUCCCACAGCCGGGCCCGGAGGAGUGGAUAGCGCCGCCAGGGCCCGGUGCAGCCCCC
Molecule: long non-coding RNA, 2221 nt
Filed under: Strigops habroptila (Kakapo)
Lineage: Eukaryota; Metazoa; Chordata; Aves; Psittaciformes; Psittacidae
Description: lncRNA (ENSSHBG00005018692.1)
Source: RNAcentral